AGAGUUUGAUCAUGGCUCAGAUUGAACGCUGGCGGCAGGCCUAACACAUGCAAGUCGAACGGUAACAGGAAACAGCUUGCUGUUUCGCUGACGAGUGGCGGACGGGUGAGUAAUGUCUGGGAAACUGCCUGAUGGAGGGGGAUAACUACUGGAACCGGUAGCUAAUACCGCAUAACGUCGCAAGACCAAAGUGGGGGACCCUCGGGCCUCUUGCCAUCGGAUGUGCCUAGAUGGGAUUAGCUUGUUGGUGGGGUAACGGCUCACCAAGGCGACGAUCCCUAGCUGGUCUGAGAGGAUGACCAGCCACACUGGAACUGAGACACGGUCCAGACUCCUACGGGAGGCAGCAGCGGGGAAUAUUGGACAAUGGGCGAAAGCCUGAUCCAGCCAUGCCGCGUGUGUGAAGAAGGUCUUCGGAUUGUAAAGCACUUUAAGUUGGGAGGAAGGGCAGUAAGUUAAUACCUUGCUGUUUUGACGUUACCAACAGAAUAAGCACCGGCUAACUUCGUGCCAGCAGCCGCGGUAAUACGAAGGGUGCAAGCGUUAAUCGGAAUUACUGGGCGUAAAGCGCGCGUAGGUGGUUCAGCAAGUUGGAUGUGAAAUCCCCGGGCUCAACCUGGGAACUGCAUCCAAAACUACUGAGCUAGAGUACGGUAGAGGGUGGUGGAAUUUCCUGUGUAGCGGUGAAAUGCGUAGAGAUGUGGAGGAACACCAGUGGCGAAGGCGACUCUCUGGUCUGUAACUGACGCUGAGGAGCGAAAGCGUGGGGAGCGAACAGGAUUAGAUACCCUGGUAGUCCACGCCGUAAACGAUGAGUGCUAAGUGUUAGGGGGUUUCCGCCCCUUAGUGCUGCAGCUAACGCAUUAAGCACUCCGCCUGGGGAGUACGGUCGCAAGACUGAAACUCAAAGGAAUUGACGGGGGCCCGCACAAGCGGUGGAGCAUGUGGUUUAAUUCGAAGCAACGCGAAGAACCUUACCAGGUCUUGACAUCCUCUGACAAUCCUAGAGAUAGGACGUCCCCUUCGGGGGCAGAGCGACAGGUGGUGCAUAGUUGUCGUCAGCUCGUGUCGUGAGAUGUUGGGUUAAGUCCCGCAACGAGCGCAACCCUUGAUCUUAGUUGCCAGCAUUCAGUUGGGCACUCUAAGGUGACUGCCGGUGACAAACCGGAGGAAGGUGGGGAUGACGUCAAAUCAUCAUGCCCCUUAUGACCUGGGCUACACACGUGCUACAAUGGACAGAACAAAGGGCAGCGAAACCGCGAGGUUAAGCCAAUCCCACAAAUCUGUUCUCAGUUCGGAUCGCAGUCUGCAACUCGACUGCGUGAAGCUGGAAUCGCUAGUAAUCGCGGAUCAGCAUGCCGCGGUGAAUACGUUCCCGGGCCUUGUACACACCGCCCGUCACACCACGAGAGUUUGUAACACCCGAAGUCGGUGAGGUAACCUUUUAGGAGCCAGCCGCCG
This 1461-nucleotide ribosomal RNA is filed under the name metagenome. Its description in RNAcentral is "bacterial SSU rRNA". It matches the Rfam family "Bacterial small subunit ribosomal RNA". The record is from RNAcentral.